GCGGUUAUACUUGUUCUUCGACUCAAAGAAUAAAAACGAAUCAAACCCAUUAAACUUGUCUAAUAAAAAUUUUAUGUUAAUAUUUUCAAAAUUAUUUUUUUGAACUGGAUUAGUACCCAGGUAAAAGAAUGAAUUAAGUAAGGUAAAACCUAAAUUAAAUGGCAGUAUUUUUGAAAAAGUAGAGAAACUUGAAAUUUAGAAAGUCCACUAUAUAGUUUAUUUUCUAAAAGUUUAAGUAUGGCUGUCCAAAAAUAAGUAAAUACUUAAAUUUGUAGUCAAGUAACAUUUAACUUAGAAAAAAUUUUUGAGUUGCAACAACAUAUUAACUUGUUUUACUAAAGGAAGGAUUUACAAGUAAAAACAAUUCUAUGAAAAGAGUCGCUAUGUACA
Molecule: ribosomal RNA, 390 nt
Filed under: Tigriopus fulvus
Lineage: Eukaryota; Metazoa; Arthropoda; Copepoda; Harpacticoida; Harpacticidae
Description: partial small subunit ribosomal RNA
Source: RNAcentral